GUGCUUCUUUUGGCGGCACACAUACUAAAAUUGGAACAAUACAGAAAAGAUUAGCCUGGCCCCUACGCAAGAAUAAUAACCAAAUUUGUAAAGUGUUCCAUAUUUUU
Molecule: small nuclear RNA, 107 nt
Filed under: Dasypus novemcinctus (nine-banded armadillo)
Lineage: Eukaryota; Metazoa; Chordata; Mammalia; Cingulata; Dasypodidae
Source: RNAcentral